CCAUGCCUUUUUCUGAAAGAUAAGAACGUUGGGAAGUUUACAGUUAACAAAUUAAUAUUUUUUUCCUGCGGGAAUUAAAUUAAAUAAAUUUGGUCCAAAAAGAUUAUCAAUCAAUGAGAUCAUUUGACCAAAGCCAAAGCCAAAGCCAAAUCCGAAUCCGAAGCCGAAGCCGAAUCCGAAGCCGAAGCCGAAGCCGAAGCCGAAGCCGAAGCCAAAUCCAAAGCCGAAGCCGAGCCGAGCCGAGCGACGACGGCGCGAGGGGAGUCCCUCUUCUUAACCCUUUAAGAGCUAGAAGAAGUGCUUUCUAAUAUAAGCACAUAAC
Molecule: long non-coding RNA, 322 nt
Filed under: Nicotiana benthamiana
Lineage: Eukaryota; Viridiplantae; Streptophyta; Magnoliopsida; Solanales; Solanaceae
Description: long non-coding RNA (NBEN_LNC041917)
Source: RNAcentral